CCUACUGGUGGCAGCAGUGGGGAAUAUUGCACAAUGGGGGAAACCCUGAUGCAGCGACGCCGCGUGAGUGAAGAAGUAUUUCGGUAUGUAAAGCUCUAUCAGCAGGGAAGAAGAAAUACGUUACCUGACUAAGAAGCCCCGGCUAACUACGUGCCAGCCGCCUCGGUAAUACGUAGGGGGCACGCGUUAUCCGGAUUUACUGGGUGUAAAGGGAGCGUAGACGGCUGUGCAAGUCUGAAGUGAAAGCCCAGGGCGCAACCGUGAGAUUGCUUUUGAACCUGGGGAGCUAGAGUGCUGGAGAGGUAAGUGGAAUGCGUGGUGUAGCGGUGAAAUGCGUAGAUAUUAGGAGGAACACCAGUGGCGAAGGCGGCUUACUGGACAGUAACUGACGUUGAGGCUCGAAAGCGUGGGGAGCAAACAGGAUUAGAUACCCGUGUAGUC
Molecule: ribosomal RNA, 441 nt
Filed under: uncultured bacterium
Lineage: Bacteria
Description: partial 16S ribosomal RNA
Rfam family: Bacterial small subunit ribosomal RNA
Source: RNAcentral